UAUUAUCGUCGAAAUGUUAUA
Caenorhabditis elegans is the source of this 21-nucleotide non-coding RNA. NCBI's taxonomy places the organism in Eukaryota, Metazoa, Nematoda, Chromadorea, Rhabditida, Rhabditidae. The record is from Ensembl.